This is a non-coding RNA of Podarcis lilfordi (Lilford's wall lizard), 83 nucleotides long. The record is from the annotation of a GenBank genome assembly. Lineage: Eukaryota; Metazoa; Chordata; Lepidosauria; Squamata; Lacertidae.
AUGGUCAUGUGACUCAGCUUCCACUGAAGUCAAAGGGACUCUUUCCUUUGACUUCACAGAGAGUUGUAUCAAGCGCUGUUUGU